Molecule: Y RNA, 98 nt
Filed under: Prolemur simus (greater bamboo lemur)
Lineage: Eukaryota; Metazoa; Chordata; Mammalia; Primates; Lemuridae
Description: Y RNA (ENSPSMG00000000414.1)
Rfam family: Y RNA
About the family: Y RNAs are components of the Ro ribonucleoprotein particle (Ro RNP), in association with Ro60 and La proteins. The Y RNAs and Ro60 and La proteins are well conserved, but the function of the Ro RNP is not known.
Source: Rfam by way of RNAcentral
GGCUGGUCCAAUGGCAGUGGGUUAUCAGAAAACUUACUAACAUUAGUGCCACUAAAGUUGGUAUACAAUCCCCCACUGCUAAAUUUGACUGGCUUUAA